AGGGGGAAAAUUAAUAAAUAGUAAAUAAAAUUAAUAAAAGAAAUUUUAAUAUAAAAAAUAUUUAAUGGGGGUUAAAGUAUUUUUAUAGAAAAAAUUUGAAAUUUUAUAGUUAAUUAGUAUUGUGAAAGAAGUUUGAAAUAAUAAUGAAAUGAAAAUUAUUUAAAAGUAGGUUUUAUUUGUUGUAUCUUGUGUAUCAGAGUUUAUUAAAAAAAUUUUAUUUUUUAAAUUUCUCGAAUUUAAAAGAGUUAAUUAAUUAAUAAAUUUAUUGUUUCAUAAAUAUUUUAAAUAAUUAAUUAGAAAUGAAAUGUUAUUCGUUUUUAAAUAUAUCUAGUUUUUUUAGAAAAAAAUUGAAUUUUUAAUUAAAGUUAAAAAUUAAUUAAUUAAUUAAUUAAUUUUUAACUUUAAUUAAAUAUUUUAAGGGAUAAGCUUUAAAUUAGAUUUUUAUAAUUAAAUUAAUUUAAAUAUUUUAAAAAUUUUAUAAUUUAUAUUGUUAAUAAAUUUUAAUUUAUUAUAAAUAAUUUUAAAUUAAUUUAAAAUUUAAAUUUUAAAUUUAAAUUUUUAUAAAUAAAAUAAAAAUAAAUUUUAUAUUUUUAGUUAUAAUGAUAAAAUUAGUAAAUAUAAGCAAUAAAAUUAAUUUUUAUUUUUUAAUAAUUAUAUUAAAGGAAUUCGACAAAUUUAAGUAUUUACCUGUUUAUCAAAAACAUGUCUUUUUGAAUAUAAUUUAAAGUCUAAUCUGCCCACUGAUAAAUAAAUUAAAGGGCUGCAGUAUAUUGACUGUACAAAGGUAGCAUAAUCAUUAGUCUCUUAAUUGGUGACUUGUAUGAAAGAUUGGAUAAAAUACAAAUUGUCUCUAAUAUAUUUAAUUGAAUUUAAUUUUUUAAUUAAAAAGUUAAAAUAAUUUAAAAAGACGAGAAGACCCUAUAGAGUUUUAUAUUUUAUUAAUAAAAAUUUUAAAUUAAUUUGGGUAAUUUAUAUUAAAAAAAUUAUUUUAUUGGGGUGAUAAAAAAAUUAAAUUAACUUUUUUUAAAAUUUUACAUUAAUAAUUGAAUUAUUGAUCCAUUAAUAUUGAUUAUAAGAAAAAAUUACCUUAGGGAUAACAGCGUAAUUUUUUUUUUUAGUUCAAAUAAAAAAAAGAGUUUGCGACCUCGAUGUUGGAUUAAGAUAAAAUUUAAAUGCAAAAGUUUAAAAUUUUUGAUCUGUUCGAUCAUUAAAAUCUUACAUGAUCUGAGUUCAAACCGGUGUGAGCCAGGUUGGUUUCUAUCUUUUAAUUUUAUUAAUAUUUUAGUACGAAAGGAUCAAAUAUUAUAAUUAAAUUAAAUUAAUUUGAAUAUUAUUAAAGUUAUAAUGAAUAAUUAUG
RNAcentral lists this ribosomal RNA (1357 nucleotides) under Marumba sperchius. Its description in RNAcentral is "16S ribosomal RNA". The record is from RNAcentral. Lineage: Eukaryota; Metazoa; Arthropoda; Insecta; Lepidoptera; Sphingidae.